GUGUCAGCGAGAUCCUGCACUUCAUCAUCUGUCCAAGAAGAGGACAGCAAAGCUGAGCAAAGUCAGAGAACUGAGCCAUCCAAGGAAGGUCCUUGCAGUUCUGUGCACACAGAUGAAGCUGGACCAACGAGCAAGGCAGUCGCUCUGUACAUUCGUGCUGAAGAAGACCCAGGAAGGUGAUACUGCAGCCUGACUCUGGUUUGAUUCUUAGAGGAACUGCUUGUCUUUCAAGUAGCUGCAAUCAGCUCCCAAGGCUUUAUAUAAUGCGGCAGCAAACUCAGAAUACGGUGCAUAAAGUUUUCAUAGCUGCAUUAGACUGGAAAACAUCCUGGCCCACAUUCCAACUCCUGCCAUCUCCAGUUCUGCUGCUGAGAGCUCCCAACCUCAGUCUCGGUGACAGCAUGCACCAUAUACAAAGUGGGACUUUUAAGCUAAGGACAAACGUGAUGCUGUUGCCUGUGUUUUCCUUAGAACCACAGAACGGCUUGAGUUGGAAGGGACCUCAGUCAUCAUCCAGUUCCACUCCUACACCAUGGGCAGGGUUGCCAACUUACUCAGGCAUCUUUAUGGGCACAGAGCAGCAUAUGCCUCUGCCCUUCACAAUGACUUUCUUCAAGCACUUGCAUUUGAAUGUUGCUUUCCCCUUUCUGGAUGAUUAUCUGUCCUCUGCUGUAAGGAGUCACAGUCACCUGGAAGCUGAAAAGACCUUCAUAUCCUUGAAUUUGAUACCAGCUUAGAAAUUGCUGCUCUUUCUCAGAGAUGAAGACAUAUACCAUUCUGAACCACAUUUGAGGGUGUUUCCAACUAAGCUUGCUGAGGGAUGAAGCUAUAAGGACUCAUUGCCAAGAAAUGCUAGUGGAUACACACCUUCACCCCUCUCGCAGAGAACUAUUGAUGGGCUCACGUGGCUGAGAUAUUUAUGAAGAAACUUCUUGUACAAGACCUUGUCCCUGACGAGCUUUUAAUGAUGAGGAAGCGACUCAACAAUCGAUGCUCAAGAGGUUGAAAUAAGAAAGCCACUCCAGCCACAUAGGAACCAUUGCAGAACUCCAGGGAUGCUUCAUUGCAGCAUGACAAAAGUUAGGAGCGAUGCUGUGGAGCGAUGGGGCUCUGUGGAGGAACAAAGCAAGAAUUCUUGUGCUCACUGCUGUAUUCUCCUUCAACACACACUGAAAAAUAAUGGUGGAAAUAAAAAGAAUAAAC
Gallus gallus (chicken) is the source of this 1203-nucleotide long non-coding RNA. The record is from Ensembl. NCBI's taxonomy places the organism in Eukaryota, Metazoa, Chordata, Aves, Galliformes, Phasianidae.